GAUGAACGCUGGCGGCGUGCCUAAUACAUGCAAGUCGAGCGAACAGAUGAGGAGCUUGCUCCUCUGACGUUUGCCGCGGACGGGUGAGUAACACGUGGAUAACCUACCUAUAAGACUGGGAUAACUUCGGGAAACCGGAUCUUAUCCCGGAUAAUAUAUUGAACCGCAUGGUUCAAUAGUGAAAGACGGCUUUUCUGUCACUUAUAGAUGGAUCCCCGCCGCAUUAGCUAGUUGGUAAGGUAACGGCUUACCAAGGCAACGAUGCGUAGCCGACCUGAGAGGGUGAUCGGCCACACUGGAACUGAGACACGGUCCAGACUCCUACGGGAGGCAGCAGUAGGGAAUCUUCCGCAAUGGGCGAAAGCCUGACGGAGCAACGCCGCGUGAGUGAUGAAGGUCUUCGGAUCGUAAAACUCUGUUAUUAGGGAAGAACAAAUGUGUAAGUAACUAUGCACGUCUUGACGGCACCUAAUCAGAAAGCCACGGCUAACUACGUG
RNAcentral lists this ribosomal RNA (497 nucleotides) under uncultured bacterium. RNAcentral's name for it is "partial 16S ribosomal RNA". It matches the Rfam family "Bacterial small subunit ribosomal RNA", at positions 28 to 507 of the family's 1533-position model. The record is from RNAcentral.